Molecule: ribosomal RNA, 422 nt
Filed under: uncultured archaeon
Lineage: Archaea
Description: bacterial SSU rRNA
Rfam family: Archaeal small subunit ribosomal RNA
Source: RNAcentral
UCAGCCGCCGCGGUAAUACCAGCUCUCCGAGUGGUGUGGACGUUUAUUGGGCCUAAAGCAUCCGUAGCUGGCUGAACAAGUCCCCUGUUAAACCCACCGAUUUAAUCGUUGGCGUGCGGGGGAUACUGCUUGGCUAGGGGACGAGAGAGGCAGACGGUAUUCCCGGGGUAGGGGUGAAAUCCUAUAAUCCCGAGAAGACCACCAGUGGCGAAGGCUGUCUGCUAGAAUGCGCCCGACGGUGAGGGAUGAAAGCUGGGGGAGCGAACCGGAUUAGAUACCCGGGUAGUCCCAGCUGUAAACGAUGCAGACUAGGUGUCUGGACGGCCACGUGCCGCUCUAGUGCCGCAGGGAAGCUGUUAAGUCUGCCGCCUGGGGAGUACGAUCGCAAGGUUGAAACUUAAAGGAAUUGGCGGGGGAGCACA